Cyanistes caeruleus (blue tit) is the source of this 678-nucleotide long non-coding RNA. RefSeq lists it as uncharacterized. NCBI's taxonomy places the organism in Eukaryota, Metazoa, Chordata, Aves, Passeriformes, Paridae. The record is from RefSeq and is a predicted model, not a curated record.
UUGGAGCCCUCCUGUGCUCCCUGCUGAUUUUAUGAUGCUGUGAUGGAGGCAGGUGCAGCCAUUCACCCAAGAGAAAGUGCACAGACAGAGAUUCGUGCUGGAGCUAAUGGGCAAUUAGAGAGCUGCUGGAGUAAUUAAACAGCUGCUGGAAGCUCUUCCAAGGGACAGCUUGUGGUGCUACAGCGUGGGAAGAACUCUCAGGAAGAGCCUGGCCUUCAGCAACAGCAGCUUAAUUUCCUUUUCUUCUGCAUUUUAAUGAUGAUGUUGGCUACUUUUGCUGGUCAGCUGGAUAUGAUUAAGUAACUGAGCUCAGCAGGUGCUUCCUGAGAAGGCAAAGAUCUGGGAGGUCACACAACUUUUCAGAGCUGCAGUGGAGGACAAGGUCCUGUUAUGAUUGAUGGUGCUGAAAUGGAAAUGUUUCAUCUCUACAGUGUGCAGAGAAGGAACUGCAGUCCCAGAAAUCCCCUGUUCCCAGUGCUGCCUUGUUUGGGAGCUGUGAGCAGUGAUGAAAUUCUGUGCUCCCAUCCCUCUGCUCCCAACCUGAACUUGUGGUGCACUGCUUCUGGGGUGAGGGAGAAAUGCUGCUUUGGAAGAGGGAAGGAGGAUGAAAACCAUGGAAUGGAGAUUGCACCAGGAAAAUCCACAAAUGCCAGAAGGAGACAGAGGAGUCCUGCAACU